CAGUCGCCGCGGGAAUACGUAGGGCGCAAGCGUUGUCCGGAAUUAUUCGGCGUAAAGAGCUCGUAGGCGGUCUGUCGCGUCUGGUGUGAAAUCCCGAGGCUCAACCUCGGGCUUGCAUCGGGUACGGGCAGACUAGAGUGCGGUAGGGGAGACUGGAAUUCCUGGUGUAGCGGUGGAAUGCGUAGAUAUCAGGAGGAACACCGAUGGCGAAGGCAGGUCUCUGGGCCGCAACUGACGCUGAGGAGCGAAAGCAUGGGGAGCGAACAGGAUUAGAUACCCCUGUAGUCCCUGUCUCUUAUAC
RNAcentral lists this ribosomal RNA (301 nucleotides) under uncultured bacterium. RNAcentral describes it as "partial 16S ribosomal RNA". It matches the Rfam family "Bacterial small subunit ribosomal RNA", at positions 509 to 807 of the family's 1533-position model. The record is from RNAcentral.